GCCUCGUUAGCUCAGAUGGUAGAGCUGCGGACUUUUAAUCCGUAGGUCGGGGGUUCGAGACCCUCACGGGGCA
This 73-nucleotide transfer RNA is filed under the name Spirochaetota bacterium. Its description in RNAcentral is "Spirochaetes bacterium tRNA-Lys". It matches the Rfam family "tRNA". From Rfam's summary of the family: Transfer RNA (tRNA) molecules are approximately 80 nucleotides in length. Their secondary structure includes four short double-helical elements and three loops (D, anti-codon, and T loops). Further hydrogen bonds mediate the characteristic L-shaped molecular structure. tRNAs have two regions of fundamental functional importance: the anti-codon, which is responsible for specific mRNA codon recognition, and the 3' end, to which the tRNAs corresponding amino acid is attached (by aminoacyl-tRNA synthetases). tRNAs cope with the degeneracy of the genetic code in two manners: having more than one tRNA (with a specific anti-codon) for a particular amino acid; and 'wobble' base-pairing, i.e. permitting non-standard base-pairing at the 3rd anti-codon position. Lineage: Bacteria; Pseudomonadati; Spirochaetota. The record is from RNAcentral.